AAAAAAAAAAAAAAAAAAUCCGUCUUCUAGAGUCAGACAAACGACGCACAGAGGAAUCCAUCCAUUCAACCCAAGUCAUCAAUCCUUAUGGAGACUUUUAGUUAAAGACUAACUACUAGCUUAAGAGACCUUUUUUACCUGACAACGGCUUAACCCUGUUAACUGCACGUGCCAGUCAUAGGUGCUGCUCUGAUACCAUUUGUUUAACCGAACUCGGUCAGAUCAGCCACACUCUGGUCUGGUGCAGCCUCGGGCUUUCAUUGAGAUGCUGCUGAGGAGGUGUUGAUCACGUGCUGCUGGUGGGUGUGAAAACCGAAAUUCCCAAAGAGACGCUGUACCAUGAAAAGCAAACCAUGAUGCCAAAUUGCUGAUCGUCAAUACUUAUCCUCUAGGGAUCAAUCAAACAGUACAUGUAUCUCUGGCAAAAUGAUCUUGUAAAUCUCAUCAUGUCAUCGUCAAGAUAAGAAAAAGAGAAAAGAAGAAGCACCGUUCAGCGCGUUUUGCUUGUUUGACAUGAUUCAAACAAUAAAGUAUGCAUUUGAAUGAAUAUAAAAUUUCAAAUGAAAAUGUUGACAGGCAUUACGCUACCAUUCAGCAGAGGAAUUUUACUACAAUGUAAUUUCACAUAGCUAUGAUUGAAAAACACAGCUAAGGAUAAGAGGCUAGAUUAGAGAAUAUCCAAAAUGAAGUUGGGCUAACAUGUGUACAUACCAUGGCAUCAUUUAUCGCGUAAGUCACACAGUAGUGCUCCUGAAAAACAGCAGUUCAGGACAAAAAUGAGAGCUAACAACAUCAGCAACAAUAACAGAAAAACUCAUUGCAAUUUAUGGCCACUAAUGUAUCAAUCACCACUUGACAAAUGCCCUUUUUCAUACGUGUGCAUUAAACAGAUUUCUAUUUGGUCUAGGCCCACACAUCAAUAUCAAGCAUUGUUAUUAAGAAUCUAUAGCACUUGAAAUCUUUUGCAACGCAAAAGAGGAUUUAGCUUGCCUGCAUCAUGUGCCACUCUUCAAACUCGUCAAAUAAUUCCAGUCGUUCAAUCCUGUGCCUUUCUUGAGCUUCAAUAAAAUCACUAUAAACUCUCAGCAUGUCCCAAGCAACAGCCCUCUGACACCUCAAAUGGUGUGCAAGAAAAAGUAUUUAAAAAUUUUAGAGAAAAAAAAUGGCAACUUAAAUAAAACAAAGGAAAUGAAGCUAAGGGGGGAAAACAGUUUUGGUGAAUAACCCUAUGUAUCACCAACUAUAUUCCCUAAUAACACAUGUUUGAAUGUUUCAAUUGCAUAAUAACACAUGUUUGAAUGCAUCAAUUGCCUAAUAACAAAUGUUUGAAUGUUACAAUUCCAGCUGCAAGUAGCACAAAUAAUAUUGAACCACCAUUUAAGUGAUACUUUGGAGGGAAAAAAUUCUGUGCCCAAAAUUAAUUGAAUGGCAUAACAAAUCUCUUUACUCCAAAAUUAUACUAUGAUCACUAAUCAAAACUAUUUUGAUAAAAAACAUUUGUAAUCCACACAUUAAGCACCUGGAGCAAGAAGAAACUUGUGUAAACUCUGAUAACCUUUGCAUUUAAGCACACUAUAUGGAUGAACAAUUUCUUUUUUUUUUUUCUAUCAAGAAAAAGGCAGGAAUAUAGUUUCAUUCCCAGGAAAAUUUUCCUUUAAAGUAUACCUGCCAUCCCUGAUCAAGAAAAAGUUUUUCCUUUGCAAGCAAAGUUGGUGUAGCAUAAAUCCCCAAUAGUGCACAGCCACGACUCUAAAGACCAAAAGAUGAAGAAGAAGAAGAAGAAGUAAUUGAACAUGAUAACAAUAUUGAAACUAAUAAUAAAAAGAGUGAGCAAGUAAGCACCAAUAUAGAACUGCACCCUUUAAUAGUUGAACACAUGAAAAAAAUCCAAAUUACUUGAGAAUUCAUAAAAGUGUAAAAAGAAAGAAAUAUCCAAACCUCCAAAUUCUUUAUCAUUUGCUGCCCAAAAGCAUCUUCAGGGAGGAUCUGCUCGUAUAAGAAAAAAGCAGCUGUUGAAAAUUUCUUUGCUGCCCAACCAACUAAAGCACAGGUUGAAUCUGGAUCCAAGUAUAUUAGAACGCAUUCUGCAAUUAUAAAAGUUGGCAAGCUGAUAACAGUAUCAGAGCAAAGCAAAUCAUUGUUCCCUCAUCAUGAAGAUAUAACCAGCCUCCACAAAGAAAAUGACAAGGGAAAACUCAACAUGGAGAAAUUCUUCAUCCAGAAAAAAGCCAUUUGAUGCAUUAAACUUGCAUACUUUCUUGCAUAUCAAUGAGAGCAAGAAGGAUGAAUAAUGGGAAAAUUAUAAGGGAAAACCUAGACAAUGAUACUUUUCAGCAAAACGAGAUGGUACUGAAAAGCUAUACAUAUAAACAUAUUCCUCUUGACAGGUUGGAGUGCAUGGAAAGGAGCAAAUAGUGACCAAAAGACCAUCACAAUCACUUCUUAGAAAUGAGGAUUUUAAAUUACCUAAGAACACCAUAGAAGUAAGAUAAUGAAAUUUGAUCAACAAAACGGAAAGAAAAUCAACUCUCUAUGCAUACUUAGGGUCCAUAUUAGCCAGUGCUAUGAUUUCAUCUAGUUUUUGUAUAUCGCGCAGGUCAACUGGUAGUAGCUUGUAAUGAUCACUGAGCACUUCUCCUUUCUCUCGUGAGAUUGAUGCUGUAGCCCCAACUUUGUAUGACUGUAGGAUUCAAUAAUUGCCCCCUUUUUACUAGUUACCUAACAAAGCCCUUACGUAAGUUGAGAGGAAACAGCUAAACCUUGGGCCAGCAAACAUAAAUAGGUUAAUAUAGUUGUAACCUCAUGGCACAAAAAUAUGCUAGUACGCUGCUAGAUUAACUCAUAGGAUAGCAAUGCAUGUUUCAAACUCAGACCUCGUUGAAAUCCAGCUCCACAUAUAAAGAUGGUGCUUUUCCCUCAUCCUGCAACUGAAAGUAAGUUGCAUCAAAACCUGCUCCAAUUGACAAUAUCUGCUUCUUGAUGUGCCCUUCUUCAUC
Molecule: unclassified non-coding RNA, 2996 nt
Filed under: Hevea brasiliensis (rubber tree)
Lineage: Eukaryota; Viridiplantae; Streptophyta; Magnoliopsida; Malpighiales; Euphorbiaceae
Source: RNAcentral